UACGUAGGGGGCAAGCGUUGUCCGGAUUUAUUGGGCGUAAAGAGCGUGUAGGCGGCCAUGUAGGUCCGUUGUGAAAACUCGAGGCUCAACCUCGAGACGCCGAUGGAAACCGUCUGGCUAGAGUCCGGAAGAGGAGAGUGGAAUUCCUGGUGUAGCGGUGAAAUGCGCAGAUAUCAGGAAGAACACCCGUGGCGAAGGCGGCUCUCUGGGACGGUACUGACGCUGAGACGCGAAAGCGUGGGGAGCGAACAGG
This 253-nucleotide ribosomal RNA is filed under the name uncultured bacterium. RNAcentral describes it as "partial 16S ribosomal RNA". It matches the Rfam family "Bacterial small subunit ribosomal RNA", at positions 524 to 776 of the family's 1533-position model. The record is from RNAcentral.